AGCGAACGCUGGCGGCAUGCCUAACACAUGCAAGUCGCACGGGGGGGCUUCGGCCUCCCAGUGGCGGACGGGUGAGGAACGCGUAGGGACCUGUCGAGGGGUGGGGGAUAACCGCGGGAAACUGCGGCUAAUACCGCAUGACGCCGCGGCGUGACAGCCGGGGCCAAAGGCGAGAGCCGCCCGCCGAGGGGCCUGCGUCCGAUUAGCUGGUUGGCGGGGUAGCGGCCCACCAAGGCGUCGAUCGGUAGCUGGGCUGAGAGGGUGAUCAGCCACACCGGGACUGAGACACGGCCCGGACUCCUACGGGAGGGAGCAGUGGGGAAUAUUGGACAAUGGGCGCAAGCCUGAUCCAGCAAUGCCGCGUGGGUGAAGAAGGUCUUCGGAUUGUAAAGCCCUUUCGGCGGGGACGAUGGUGACGGUACCCGCAGAAGAAGGCCCGGCUAACUUCGUG
Molecule: ribosomal RNA, 451 nt
Filed under: uncultured bacterium
Lineage: Bacteria
Description: partial 16S ribosomal RNA
Rfam family: Bacterial small subunit ribosomal RNA
Source: RNAcentral